This is a non-coding RNA of Glossina morsitans morsitans, 196 nucleotides long. The record is from Rfam. Lineage: Eukaryota; Metazoa; Arthropoda; Insecta; Diptera; Glossinidae.
AGGUCCCACAAUCGGAAGCGUGCUAAUGACAACCAGUCUCCGCGAAGUAAUACCUAACGGUGGUCCUGCGGGGGAGAGUGGUAGAAGAAGCGUUUGGGGGGUAGUUUUUAGUAUAUAAGCGCCAUGGAUGGUGAAUCGUGCAUGCUUGUACUAAGAACCAGCAGUAUCUUUUGAAGAUUUUCUACUUCUUGCUAAC